CCUACGGGAGGCAGCAGUGAGGAAUAUUGGUCAAUGGGCGCGAGCCUGAACCAGCCAAGUCGCGUGAGGGAAGACGGUCCUAUGGGUUGUAAACCUCUUUUGUCGGGGAGCAAAAGACGCCACGCGUGGCGUUCCGAGAGUACCCGAAGAAAAAGCAUCGGCUAACUCCGUGCCAGCAGCCGCGGUAAUACGGAGGAUGCGAGCGUUAUCCGGAUUUAUUGGGUUGAAAGGGUGCGCAGGCGGAAGAUCAAGUCAGCGGUAAAAUUGAGGGGCUCAACCUCUUCGAGCCGUUGAAACGGGUUGUCUUGAGUGAGUGAGAAGGAUGCGGAAGGCGUGGGGAAGCGUGGAAAUGCAUAGAUAUCAGGAAGAAAUCCGAUGGCGAAGGCAGGAUACCGGCGCUCAAUGGACGCGCAUGAACGAAAGUGUGGGGAUCGAACAGGAUUAGAUACCCUUGUAGUC
This 459-nucleotide ribosomal RNA is filed under the name uncultured bacterium. RNAcentral's name for it is "partial 16S ribosomal RNA". It matches the Rfam family "Bacterial small subunit ribosomal RNA", at positions 338 to 795 of the family's 1533-position model. The record is from RNAcentral.